CUUGAAGGCACAGUCAUAGGUGUCAAUCCUACCCAGUAUUCAAGCACCAGCUAAGUUUCAGUAGCUGGUCACAUGGAUGCAGCUGGCUCUUGGCCCUGAAGAGCUGACAUCCCUCAAGAAUUUGUGUGGAUAAGAAGAGUUCUCCAGUCUGGAAAUAUGAAGCUUUUGUUAGGUUGCUUCCUGAUGCUUCAAGUUUUAGAGUCUCCCACUGUGCUGCAAGCAAGCAUUACAAUUUCUUCUACAGCCACUUUUAAAUUCUGGGCAGCAGAUCUGCCAUCUGCAGUCCAUCUGCUGGGUCUAAUACCUAAGAAACAGACUUCAACCAUGAAGAGCUAACCCUCACAAAUUGUCAGUAAUGAAGAGUCCAUCAUAAUCACUUAACACGUCAAACACCUGUGUGAGCAAGACAAUGAGGGAAUGACUUUUGCAGGAGGAUGGAUAUAGGAUUAGAUGGAGCGUUACUUGGGGUCUGGAUGGGAAUGUUUGUUUAUAAUGAAAAGGGCAGUCAUUGUGGCACAUUUCCUUGCAGCAAAUAAUCAACCCUGCAAGUCAUAGAGAAACACAUCCUAUUUAGCAGCAGUUUUCCUAAAAAACUGAGGGUGAUACUUAAAACAUGGAGGUUUUUUUAUGGGCUUAUCCAUGACCAUGCCAUAAAUAUAUGCAGAAUCACACAGGUCCUACUUAGAUGAAUGUCCCCAGUUAUUUAUAACUUGAACUGGAGGGAUGGUGCAGCACAGCUGCUGUUGCACCAUCUAUCCCUGAUGACCAUCACACACUUAAAACAUUGUGGGAUUUUUUUAAAGUAACCUGCUGUGUCUACUCUGCAUAUUUUCCUUUGCUUUCACUGCUUGAGAGGGCACAUGGUCACAACACUUCAUUGCUCUGCCAGGGAGGGCUCCAUUAUUUUCAGGAUGCUGCAAAGAGAGGGAAUGAGCUGAGAUCAUGGGAUACAAUGUCUUUACUAUAAAUCCCAAAGACCAGUGUUAAGAGCUGCUGUACCUCCUGUUUCUGCCGCAGAAUUGGAAUCCUGUGUUAAUAAAACUAGAAGCAUGUUUAUUUAAGACCA
Long non-coding RNA from Cyanistes caeruleus (blue tit), 1066 nucleotides. The record is from Ensembl. Lineage: Eukaryota; Metazoa; Chordata; Aves; Passeriformes; Paridae.